Molecule: ribosomal RNA, 237 nt
Filed under: uncultured bacterium
Lineage: Bacteria
Description: partial 16S ribosomal RNA
Rfam family: Bacterial small subunit ribosomal RNA
Source: RNAcentral
UAUGCAACCUGCCCCUGUCAGGGGGACAACCCGCCGAAAGGCGGGCUAAACCCGCGUACAUGCCACCGGGGCAUCCCGGAGGCAGGAAAGGCUUCGGCCGGACAGGGAUGGGCAUGCGGCGCAUUAGGCAGUAGGCGGGGUAACGGCCCACCUAACCGACGAUGCGUAGGGGUUCUGAGAGGAAGGUCCCCCACACUGGUACUGAGACACGGACCAGACUCCUACGGAAGGCAGCAG